UACGAGGGGGGCGAGCGUUGUUCGGAAUUAUUGGGCGUAAAGGGCGCGUAGGCGGUCGGAUAAGUCUUGUGUGAAAUCUUCGGGCUCAACUCGAAGUCUGCACAGGAAACUAUCUGGCUUGAGUGUGGGAGAGGUGAGUGGAGUUCCUGGUGUAGCGGUGAAAUGCGUAGAUAUCAGGAGGAACACCUGUGGCGAAAGCGGCUCACUGGACCACAACUGACGCUGAGGCGCGAAAGCUAGGGGAGCAAACAGG
RNAcentral lists this ribosomal RNA (253 nucleotides) under uncultured bacterium. RNAcentral's name for it is "partial 16S ribosomal RNA". It matches the Rfam family "Bacterial small subunit ribosomal RNA", at positions 524 to 776 of the family's 1533-position model. The record is from RNAcentral.